Molecule: long non-coding RNA, 849 nt
Organism: Choloepus didactylus (southern two-toed sloth)
Lineage: Eukaryota; Metazoa; Chordata; Mammalia; Pilosa; Megalonychidae
Exons: 3
Source: RefSeq, a predicted model, not a curated record
CUCUGCAAUCCAAACCAACGUCCUUUCUCAUCUGGGCAACUGCAAUACCUUCUUAAUUCCCUGCCUCCCGUUCCUACUCCGUCCAGCCAGUUCUUUUUUCACACAGCAGCCCUUGGGAGCCUUUAGAAAUAAAUAUGAUUCCCGUGCCUCAACCAAAGAUGUAUCAGAAUUUCUGCGAUGGGAGCCAGGCUUCUCAACUUUUAAUAAGGACUCAGUCCUUCACUCUUGAGAUCACCUCCAGGAAGCUAUCUGCAUGCAAGAUCUUCCCCCAGUCAAGCCUGGAGAUGACUGCUGCCCCAGACAGCACCUUGCCUGCAGUUUUAUGAGACAACCUGAACCAGACCCAUCCAUUUAAGCUGCACCAAGAUUUCUGAACUACAGAAAACUUGAGAUAUUAUUUUGUUGUUUUAAGUGGUAACUUGGAAGUAAUUUGUCAUUCAGCAAUAGAUAACUAACAUAAUGUCCCACUAUGAAAGUCAAGAACUAUUGGCAGCCUGAUGUGAAGAAGGAGAAUGGUGACCCUCUCCAGUCUUAGGGGAGGGGCUAAUAAAGCUAGUGUUCCUUCUGAAGACAAAACCCUUCUAACCCUGGGAUUGGUGAGGGAACACACACCCAUGUGUUCAUACACAAAAUAUACAUUGGAACAAAGGCCAAAAUAUAUCUGUAUUAUGUUCGUUAAUCAUGUAACCACUUCCUGGUCUCAAUGUUGUUAAGAAAACUAAUUGGAACAUUACUUGAAUAAUAGUAACAAUGUAAUUUUUAAUACAAAGGGAAACAAUACCACUUGUCUCAGGCAAGCAUCCUGAGCCCUGACUGACAAAUUCAGUUUCCUUCUUAGAAGACUUCAGG